GACGAGCGCUGCCUGCGAUGACCUCAUCCCUGGUGUGGGAUGACGUCAAAUUCAAGAUGGAUGGAAUCACGGCGGCAGCGGCGGCGGCUGCGGGCUGCGCGAGCCGAGCGUGAGAGGAAGGGGAUCCGGCGGCUGCCCGGGGGCUGAAGAGCGGUAUCAGAGAGUGGCCAAAGGGCAAAGGAAAGAGAAUCACUUUCUGCCUGAGGAGACCUGGCUGGCAUCACCCCAACCUAAGGAGGCAAUGUAUGAAGACAAGCAAGUGUGAGAGUGUGGAUCACAAGUGCCAUGUAAGACAAGUGGGUUCACUGAGAUGGAUCUGUUCAGAAGGCAGCCAGGGGCUGGAGCCUCAAGAAGUUUGAGCAGAGAUACAGAGUCAUAGUGCAAUUAUUAGUGCAGCUACAAAAGCUCAGAAAAAGCUGAGGAAAUGUCCUGUGCUGGGCUCCACAGGGCUCUGAAGAGAUAAAGGUGAGCAAGUCUAGUGAGCUUUCUAUGCAUGACAGAUACCUGCCAAGCCUUGUGCUAAGAAUUCACAGAUGAAAACAAGGGC
Molecule: long non-coding RNA, 547 nt
Filed under: Cricetulus griseus (Chinese hamster)
Lineage: Eukaryota; Metazoa; Chordata; Mammalia; Rodentia; Cricetidae
Description: lncRNA (ENSCGRG00015034497.1)
Source: RNAcentral